GAGACCUCAGGUCAGGCGGGCUACCCCGUGAGUUUAAGCAUAUCAAUAAGCGGAGGAAAAGAAACUAACAAGGAUUCCCUUAGUAACGGCGAGCGAACCGGGAACAGCCACAUGAGAUC
Molecule: ribosomal RNA, 119 nt
Filed under: Vigna radiata var. radiata (mung bean)
Lineage: Eukaryota; Viridiplantae; Streptophyta; Magnoliopsida; Fabales; Fabaceae
Description: partial 25S ribosomal RNA
Rfam family: Eukaryotic large subunit ribosomal RNA
Source: RNAcentral